RNAcentral lists this ribosomal RNA (253 nucleotides) under uncultured bacterium. RNAcentral's name for it is "partial 16S ribosomal RNA". It matches the Rfam family "Bacterial small subunit ribosomal RNA", at positions 524 to 776 of the family's 1533-position model. The record is from RNAcentral.
UACGGAGGUCGCAAGCGUUGUUCGGAAUUACUGGGCGUAAAGCGCGUGUAGGCGGUUUGGUAAGUCGGGUGUGAAAGCCCGGAGCUCAACACCGGAAUUGCAUUCGAAACUGCCGGGCUAGAGUCUCGGAGGGGAGGGCAGAAUUCCCAGUGUAGGGGUGAAAUCCGUAGAUAUUGGGAGGAAUACCAGCGGCGAAGGCGGCCCUCUGGACGAUGACUGACGCUCAGACGCGAAAGCGUGGGGAGCAAACAGG